This 433-nucleotide ribosomal RNA is filed under the name uncultured bacterium. Its description in RNAcentral is "partial 16S ribosomal RNA". It matches the Rfam family "Bacterial small subunit ribosomal RNA", at positions 29 to 507 of the family's 1533-position model. The record is from RNAcentral.
AACGAACGCUGGCGGCAGGCUUAACACAUGCAAGUCGAGCGAGACCUUCGGGUCUAGCGGCGGACGGGUGAGUAACGCGUGGGAACGUUCCCUUCUCUACGGAAUAGCCCCGGGAAACUGGGAGUAAUACCGUAUACGCCCUUUUGGGGAAAGAUUUAACGGAGAAGGAUCGGCCCGCGUUGGAUUAGGUAGUUGGUGUGGUAAUGGCCCACCACGCCGACGAUCCAUAGCUGGUUUGAGAGGAUGAUCAGCCACACUGGGACUGAGACACGGCCCAGACUCCUACGGGAGGCAGCAGUGGGGAAUCUUAGAAAAUGGGGGCAACCCUGAUCGAGCCAUGCCGGGUGAGUGAUGAAGGCCUUAGGGUUGUAAAGCUCUUUCAGCUGGGAAGAUAAUGACGGUACCAGAAGAAGAAGCCCCGGCUAACUCCGUG